UCUGUCCUUCUUUCUUUUGCCCUUUCUUUCUUUCUCUCCCAUCCCUUCCCUUCUCUCCUUCUUUCAAGCCGAAUAUGAUCAAUCACCGAUCGCAUUUGACCAGAUCCAACACAGGUAGGCCAGUAAAGAUGAAAAAUAAGCCAAAUUUGUUGCGCGAUUGAGGUGGAUCCGACCUAUUUCAAGCUGAUUCCAACACGUUUAAGGACACUUCCAGCAUACUUUAAUGCCAUUUCCAGCCUAUUGGCGUCGAAUUUAGACUAUGAUUAGCCAAUCCUCUUGAAAAAGAGGAG
This 290-nucleotide long non-coding RNA is filed under the name Durio zibethinus. Its description in RNAcentral is "long non-coding RNA (DZIB_LNC000404)". Lineage: Eukaryota; Viridiplantae; Streptophyta; Magnoliopsida; Malvales; Malvaceae. The record is from RNAcentral.